UGGGGGCUUUCAUCAAGGUUAGUGUUUCUGUAGGUUGGGGGCUUUCAUCAAGGUUAGUGUUUCUAUAGGUUGGGGGCUUUCAUCAAGGUUAGUGUUUCUGUAGGUUGGGGGCUUUCAUCAAGGUUGGUGUUUCUAUAGGUUGGGGGCUUUCAUCAAGGUUUGUGUUUCUGUAGGUUGGGGGCUUUCAUCAAGGUGUUUCUGUAGGUUGGGGGCUUUCAUCAAGGUUAGUGUUUCUGUAGGUUGGGGGCUUUCAUCAAGGUGUUUCUGUAGGUUGGGGGCUUUCAUCAACGUUAGUGUUUCGAUAGGUUGGUGGCUUCCAUCAAGGUGUUUCUGUAGGUUGGGGGCUUUCAUCAAGGUGUUUCUAUAGGUUGGGGGCUUUCAUCAAGGUGUUUCUGUAGGUUGGGGGCUUUCAUCAAGGUUAGUGUUUCUGUGUGUUGGGGGCUUUCAUCAAGGUGUUUCUGUAGGUUGGGGGCUUUCAUCAAGGUUAGUGUUUCUGUAGGUUGGGG
Molecule: long non-coding RNA, 506 nt
Organism: Oncorhynchus tshawytscha (Chinook salmon)
Lineage: Eukaryota; Metazoa; Chordata; Actinopteri; Salmoniformes; Salmonidae
Source: Ensembl